UGCCUGCUGGGGCGGUGCUGAUCAGCCAUGCCGCGUGCAGGAUGACGGCCCUAUGGGUUGUAAACUGCUUUUAUACGGGAAGAAACGCACCUACGAGUAGGUGUCUGACGGUACCGUAAGAAUAAGGACCGGCUAACUCCGUGCCAGCAGCCGCGGUAAUACGGAGGGUCCGAGCGUUAUCCGGAAUCAUUGGGUUUAAAGGGUCCGUAGGCGGGCCUGUAAGUCAGGGGUGAAAGUUUGUGGCUCAACCAUAAAAUUGCCUUUGAUACUGCAGGUCUUGAGUCAUGGUGGGGUUGCCGGAACAUGUGGUGUAGCGGUGAAAUGCAUAGAUAUCACAUAGAACACCGAUCGCGAAGGCAGGUGACCAACCAUGUACUGACGCUGAUGGACGAAAGCGUGGGUAGCGAACGGGAUUAGAUACCCCGGUAGUCCACGCCGUAAACGAUGGAUACUAGCUGUGGGGACUUCGGUCUCCGUGGCCAAGCGAAAGUGAUAAGUAUCCCACCUGGGGAGUACGUUCGCAAGAAUGAAACUCAAAGGAAUUGACGGGGGCCCGCACAAGCGGUGGAGCAUGUGGUUUAAUUCGAUGAUACGCGAGGAACCUUACCAGGGCUUAAAUGCAGGCUGCAUGGGGUAGAGAUACCCCUUUCUUCGGACCGCCUGCAAGGUGCUGCAUGGUUGUCGUCAGCUCGUGCCGUGAGGUGUCAGGUUAAGUCCUAUAACGAGCGCAACCCCUACCGUUAGUUGCCAGCAUGUCAAGAUGGGGACUCUAACGGGACUGCCGGUGCAAACCGUGAGGAAGGUGGGGACGACGUCAAAUCAUCACGGCCCUUACGUCCUGGGCUACACACGUGCUACAAUGGCCGGUACAGAGGGAAGCCACCCCGCAAGGGGGCGCGGAUCUACAAAACCGGUCACAGUUCGGAUCGGGGUCUGCAACUCGACCCCGUGAAGCUGGAAUCGCUAGUAAUCGGAUAUCAGCCAUGAUCCGGUGAAUACGUUCCCGGGCCUUGUACACACCGCCCGUCAAGCCAUGGAAGCCGGGGA
This 1047-nucleotide ribosomal RNA is filed under the name Allomuricauda sp. YUAB-SO-11. RNAcentral describes it as "bacterial SSU rRNA". It matches the Rfam family "Bacterial small subunit ribosomal RNA", at positions 366 to 1417 of the family's 1533-position model. The record is from RNAcentral. Lineage: Bacteria; Pseudomonadati; Bacteroidota; Flavobacteriia; Flavobacteriales; Flavobacteriaceae.